Pelobates cultripes (western spadefoot toad) is the source of this 228-nucleotide non-coding RNA. NCBI's taxonomy places the organism in Eukaryota, Metazoa, Chordata, Amphibia, Anura, Pelobatidae. The record is from the annotation of a GenBank genome assembly.
UGCAAAUUAGUUUAACAAAGAAUCACAUUUUUGCCUCAUUCCAUUUUAAACAUGGAUUCCUUUUAAUUUGUGUUUGCAGUAUACAACUGCUUGGAACACAAUUUAGGAUAAGAUGCAAAACCAGUGAACCACUCAUGGACAGCUGUUUCGUUGUUAAUGCAACUCUUCAGCAUGAGGUUGGUUACUGGUUUGCUUAGUGAGGCUUGGUAGUGCUUGGGAAUCCACAUA